Scleropages formosus (Asian bonytongue) is the source of this 3340-nucleotide long non-coding RNA. RefSeq lists it as uncharacterized. Lineage: Eukaryota; Metazoa; Chordata; Actinopteri; Osteoglossiformes; Osteoglossidae. The record is from RefSeq and is a predicted model, not a curated record. The transcript has 2 exons.
GGAGGAGGAGGAGGAGGAGGAUGAAGAUGUCCACAGCUGAGAGGAAGACACGAUGAUGGAGUCUUUUUUGCUCCCGGCAUCAGCACCUGGGGGGAGGGGGCGCCACUGCGCAUGCGCGCGCCGCGCCGCCAGCGUCGGCUGCGGCCGAAGAUGGAGCCUCGGCGGUGGGUGUGUCGCAGCCCUCGGAGCUGGGGGGGGGGUGUCCGGACUCCGGCGGUUCAAACCAGAACCAGAGCACGUGAGCUGCGCGCGUUCGGCCGCUUUCGACCGAUUUCGGGGCGUUUCCGGCGUCUGCAGUACCUUAGCGCGUAAUACCAGGGUAUCUUACUGCUCGCACGUGUUCGUUGGGCAGACGCUUGUCUCCCAGGCGACAACAUGUCAGGGAGCAGCACAAAGACUGAGUUUCUCACAUGAUGCUGCCUCUGCUCUGGGACACUCAGUUUCACUCGUACUGUGGUAUAAGCAGUGCACAUCACAGAGUAGCCGCACAUGUGGGCUUUUUCCAUAUAUAUAAUGUUACUGUUAUUCCUGAUAUGAAACACACACGUUUAUCGAACUCUUAAGAGAUCAGGAAACUAAGUGAGUCUGAAGGAGGUGAGUUUUGAGACCCUUCUUGAGUUGUUAUUGUUAUUAUUAUUAUUAUCAUCAUCAUUAUUUCUAUUAUUGUUGUUGUUGUUACUGAGGGUUCUGUGUAUUUAUUGGAUAUUAAGUAUUAAUGUUCACACCGGUGUAAUUCUGACUUUAACGAUAUGUUUUGAGCCAAAGAGAUGCUGCAGGGUUCACGUUCUCCACCCGAAGGAAGGUCUGCCUGUCCAGUAGAGUUCGUUCCAGGUCACGGGCACUUUGGCUCCAAGUGGAAACUGCUCACACGGCGCAGGACACUUCGCGGCUAGACACGGAUUGGUUCGCAGCCCCUGGUUCCUGGCGGGUAUGGGAACCCCUCAGCCAGGGCUCCAGCCCGGUGCGGUGCCUGUGGAUGAGUCCGAGCCUGAGCUGCGUUCCUCACUUGUGUGUCCGCGGCACCAUCAGUGGCAGCAUCAUCGGUGCUGCCCACUGCAGCUCCCUCCUGUCAGCCCCUGUCGCAAGUGGCCCACCGGCCCAGUCCAACUUGAGUCUCCUUGUCUUUGUUUCUUGCAGAAAAACAGGUCUCCCACAACUUGCCUAAAUGGUGCUUCCCCCCCCUCCCUCCCGCCGGUCGCCAUGGUGCGACUCCUUCCCUCCCCCCCUUUCCCUGUCCCUGUUUGGCCUCACUCGUCUGGACUGUUCUCUCAAUGGUUGAUGUGCUGCAGCGAGAUCUCUUUCAACACAAUGAUAUUCUGUUCUAAGGAUAUGUAAUUAUUUGUUUGUUUUGUCCAAAGUGAUAUAUAUGUAUAUAUACAUAUAUACUAUACUGUACAUCGCCAUGUGAAGCAGUGUUAUGCUUUUCAGUUAUGCUGGAUCUUUUGCUGCUCAGUAAGCAGUCUGGACACCUUCUUUACAGAGACCUGGCACCACAAAGCUAUUUGUUGGAAACAGUUCCACUGGGGUCGCGGCCCAUCACUAUCUGUUGAGCUACCUGCUGGCAUUAAGAGGUCUUGAGAUCGAACCCUUGCACGUGCUGAGACUCCAGGCUCUCUGCUCAAGUGAGAGGAAGCUGUUGACUGAGUGAGUGGCUCGUUGUUGUGACUGAACUUGGGGGGGGGGUGCUCAGCCCACUGCACAACCCCCACUCUACAAUGGUGAACCAGACCAAUACAGCACCCUGUUUGAGGCCCAGCAGGAAACACCCCCCCCACCGCUCCACCUCUUUCUGUAGGAGGAGCAGCUGAAAAGGGGCCAAGUACUUCCCACAGGACUCCUUCAUCUGCAAGGUGGCACAUACUUUGAGCCUCAACUGCACUGCAAGCAGAGAUGAAGUUGAAGAGGGUAGUAAAAGCAAAAUGAGGUUGGUGUGAAGGUGAAAGACAAGUAGCCACGUUGUGCGGAGCUCUAAUUUAUCAUGAAGCAAAGUGAAUGCAGACAAAGCUCGGGUGAGAUCACGUUAAAUUGGGGAAAGAUGGAUGGGAAGGUGCAAACAGCACUUCUUUCUGAGUUUGGCUCUGGGACACGUGCAGAAGUUGCUUGUUUUCGGCAUAUUGAAUGCUUGUUUGGUUCUGUGAAGACUAUAGCGAUAGGAAAACGGUCUUCCUCUAGAGCGUGCCGUUCACCACAGGCACUGAAAGCAGAGCUGCACAAAUUAUGAACCAUUUACUUCUCAUGGAUGUUGUGUUGCGCUUCAUCCAGACCCGAUGAAUUUCUUCUCUGUGUGAUUUGCUGUCCUGACUUGCCUGUCACUGGACCGUUCUGUCUUUCUCUCCAUUAAUUUGAACCUGCAAAGUCCAAAUUCAGGAAAGAACUGACACAAGAACAGACCCUCCUUAGCAUCAGUCAAAUGAAACGAUGACCCUCCGAGAGAAGCUAGUAAGCAGUGUUUAAGGACACUUCAAAAGUAGUUGAAUGUCCCACAAUGGGGAUUGGACCCUAAGUCUUGUUGGCGUUACAGCGGCUUGUAGGAUGAGAGACGCCCUUGUCAGAGAGACUACACGUGAGAUUAUUUAGCAGAAUCUUUUUGCUUCAGCUGUAAUGUUAAGCCUCAGGGGGAUGUGAAGUGAACAACACCUUGGUUUUUCUGGACCAUCUUAUCAAGUAAAUAAGCCCAUAAAUUGCAAAAUAAGUAGAAAUUAAACUGCAAGAUUGGGAAGUCAAUGGAUGCAGAGCCAGGAAAGAGCUGAUUCUGUCUGAAUAGGUUAUCUGUGAAAACCAAAUUGCUUCUUGGGGCUGCAGUCUUUUUCGUAGGACAACAGAAUAACAUAGAACCAAAUGUGUAAAUGCAAGACCUUUUGUAGUUUCAUCCAGCGAAUUAUUAUUAUUAUCAUAUAUUAUUCUUAUUUUUAUUGUUGUUGUUGUUAUUAUUGUUAUUAUAAUAAUAAAGUUUCUCACAGUGAAACAGGGCAAACACCAGACAUUAUAAAACCUUUCAGCAUCCCAGAGAUGAACAUCGUAGGGUUUCAGAGACUCCAGGGCAGUGGGUUGGGGGCACCUGUGAGCGCUGCACCAGCCCAUGGUUAACAUCCCAGAGCAGGACCACAGUAUGACUGCUCUCCCCUCACUGAGAAUCAAGUCUAUAUGGCCAGUUGUGCGGAUGCUCCGAAAGUGAAGAGGAGCCCUGCAGACAUGAUCUGGGGUGUCUCCCACAGCAUUUCAGAAAUGCCUGCAAUGUUGUAUGGAAUACCGCUGUGUGACUUGACGCCAUGCUUCGUCUCAUAAUUUCGACUUUGGGUGUGUAAUGCAAUUUACAGAAAAAUACACAUUUAUUUGCAUA